CACCGUGCAGGCCCCGCCCGCUCGCGGCACGGCGGCCGCCACCGCCGGUCCCGGGCUCUGUCGCUCCGCGGCCGCCCUCGCCGCCAGUCCCGGCCCGUUUGUGCCGAACGGUCGUGAUGGUGUUCCGGUGCCAGCGGGACAGCUGGGCCCGGCAGUUCACCACCAGGGUGGUGUCGUGCCGGGCGGCGGAGCUGCGGCCCGAGGGCGGCGGGGAGCCGGUGCACGGGUUCCAGGUGGUGCUGGAGGACACCAUCCUCUUCCCCGAGGGCGGCGGGCAGCCGGAUGAUCGCGGCCUCAUCGGAGAUGUGCCGGUGCUGCGCGUGACCCGGCGGGGCCCCGAGGCCGUGCAUUUCGUGCCGGCCGCGCUAGAACCGGGCGCUGAAGUGCUGCUGUCGCUGGACUGGGAGCGCCGCUUCGACCACAUGCAGCAGCAUUCAGGACAGCAUCUCAUCAGUGCCAUUGCAGAACAGAUGUUUGGAUUCAAGACGACUUCAUGGGAGCUGGGCCGUCAGCGAAGUGUCAUUGAGCUGGACACCCCCUUGGUGACAGCAGAACAGGUCGGGGCCUUGGAGAAGAGCGUGAACGAGAAAAUCCGGGACAGGGUCCCUGUGACAGUGAGGGAACUGGCUGCAGAUGAUCCUGAAAUUGAAACAGUGAGGAGCCGAGGGCUGCCCGAUGACCAUGUAGGGCCAGUGCGUGUGGUGGACAUCAAAGACAUUGACUCCAACCUGUGCUGUGGGACUCAUGUCAGUAACCUGAGUGACCUCCAGGUUAUUAAACUCCUUGGUGUGGAAAAAGGGAAAAAGAACAAAACCAACUUGGUUUUCUUGACGGGAAACAGAGUGCUGAAGUCAAUCGAACAAAGUCACAGUACUGAGAAGGCUCUAACCUCCCUGCUCAAAAAUGGACCAGGUGAGCACGUGGAGGCUGUGAAGAGACUGCAGAGCUCUGUGAAACUUCUCCAGAAGAAUAACCUGAACCUGCUUAGAGACAUUGCUGUUUUGAUAGCCCAGGACUUCAAGAGCAAACCUGCUCCAAAGCAGCUGUUUGUAUUGCACAGGAAAGAGGGUGAUUCUGAAUUUAUGAACAUCAUUGCUAAUGAGAUUGGGACAGAGGAAACCCUGCUAUUCCUGACUGUGGGAGAUGAAAAAGAAGCAGGACUCUUCCUUCUAGCUGGACCUGUUAAAGCAGUUGAAAAUUUAGGUCCCAGGGUGGCAGAACUGCUGGGUGGAAAAGGAGCUGGGAAGCACGGCCGCUUCCAGGGCAAGGCAGCCAAGAUGAGCCGGCGAGGAGAAGUGCAAACUCUGCUCCAGGAAUUCAUUAGCCAUCAAAACCCUGGAGCAUGAGAAACAAUUCUCAAAGCAGAGCUGUCCCUGGUGUUCCCUGAGCUCGCCUUUCCUGCCCAGGCAGGCCCUGGAGCUGCUGCAUUUUCCUCUGGAGGGACUAGAGGGCGCUGUGGAGCCACAACGGGGCACAACAGGUGUUGAGGGUCUUCAGCACCCAGGAGAAAUGUCCUUCUUCUACCAUGUGCAGGCCAUGCCACAGCCCUGCAUCCAGGAGCUGAUCCCCCAUCCCAUGGUGCUGGCCAGUGGGACACUCAAACUCACCAGCUAAACAAUCUUCAGCUUUAAUAAAAUACUCCUAUGCACAACCCCACCCCACGUCAUGUGUGCACACAUACCUGUUGUGCGUGUGCACGUGGGCGUGUGUGCACCCCACACUGCAUCACACAGAGGUGAGCACCAAACGUCCCAGGGCAGGGGGGUCCCUCACACUGGCACUUUAUCUCCAUGUCACAGUGUCUGCCCAUUCCUGUCACAGAGCUGCCUCUUCAGGAGACCCCAGACACGCUGAUAUGA
This is an RNA transcript of Cinclus cinclus, 1859 nucleotides long. It is a transcript of the gene named alanyl-tRNA synthetase domain containing 1, with no coding region annotated. The record is from RefSeq and is a predicted model, not a curated record. Lineage: Eukaryota; Metazoa; Chordata; Aves; Passeriformes; Cinclidae. The transcript has 14 exons.